GCCGGGCAUGGUGGCACAUGCCUGUAAUCCCAGCUACUUGGGAGGCUGAGGCAGGAGAAUUGCUUGAAUCCAGGAGGCAAAGGUUGCAGUGAGCCAAGAUCACGCCACUGCACUCCAGCCUGGGUGACAGAGCAAGAUUCCGUCUCAA
This 148-nucleotide non-coding RNA is filed under the name Homo sapiens (human). Lineage: Eukaryota; Metazoa; Chordata; Mammalia; Primates; Hominidae. The record is from Rfam by way of RNAcentral.